AGAGGGGGCAAGCGUUAUUCGGAAUUAUUGGGCGUAAAGGGCGCGUAGGCGGCCUGGCAAGUGACGGGUGAAAGCCCUCGGCUUAACCGAGGAACUGCCUGUCAGACUGUUAGGCUUGAGACCGGGAGAGGUGAGUGGAAUUCCCAGUGUAGCGGUGAAAUGCGUAGAUAUUGGGAGGAACACCAGUGGCGAAGGCGGCUCACUGGACCGGUACUGACGCUGAGGCGCGAAAGCGUGGGGAGCAAACAGGAUUAGAUACCCUGGUAGUCCACGCCGUAAACGAUGAGUGCUUGGUGUAGCGGGUAUCGACCCCUGCUGUGCCGAAGUCAACACAUUAAGCACUCCGCCUGGGGAGUACGGUCGCAAGACUG
Molecule: ribosomal RNA, 371 nt
Filed under: uncultured bacterium
Lineage: Bacteria
Description: bacterial SSU rRNA
Rfam family: Bacterial small subunit ribosomal RNA
Source: RNAcentral